GAAAAAGUAUGCAAGAACUGCUAAUUCAUGCCUCCAUGUGUAAAAACAUGGCUUUUUCU
RNAcentral lists this transfer RNA (59 nucleotides) under Procyon lotor (raccoon). RNAcentral's name for it is "tRNA-Ser". The record is from RNAcentral. Lineage: Eukaryota; Metazoa; Chordata; Mammalia; Carnivora; Procyonidae.